AUGGUAGUGCAAUGGUCAGCACGCGCCCUCCGCGGGAGCGGUAAGACGCGGGUUCAACUCCCGCCCGAGAUU
This is a non-coding RNA of Parelaphostrongylus tenuis, 72 nucleotides long. NCBI's taxonomy places the organism in Eukaryota, Metazoa, Nematoda, Chromadorea, Rhabditida, Metastrongylidae. The record is from the annotation of a GenBank genome assembly.